RNAcentral lists this ribosomal RNA (1403 nucleotides) under Haplorchis taichui. RNAcentral's name for it is "eukaryotic LSU rRNA". It matches the Rfam family "Eukaryotic large subunit ribosomal RNA", at positions 1 to 983 of the family's 3401-position model. Lineage: Eukaryota; Metazoa; Platyhelminthes; Trematoda; Opisthorchiida; Heterophyidae. The record is from RNAcentral.
UCCUGACCUCGGAUCAGACGUGAAUACCCGCUGAACUUAAGCAUAUCACUAAGCGGAGGAAAAGAAACUAACAAGGAUUCCCUUAGUAACGGCGAGUGAACAGGGAAAAGCCCAGCACCGAAGCCUGUAGCCGUUUGGUUACUAGGCAAUGUGGUGUUCAGGUCGUCCCGCGAAGGUACUGCUCCAUCCCAAGUCCAGCAAUGAGUACGGUAAUAUUUACAUGGCCCAAAGAGGGUGAAAGGCCCGUUGGGGUGGAGGCGCAGUAAUGCCAGUGCUUUCCUGGGUAGACCUUGGAGUCGGGUUGUUUGAGAAUGCAGCCCAAAGUGGGUGGUAAACUCCAUCCAAAGGCUAAAUACUAACACGAGUCCGAUAGCGAACAAGUACCGUGAGGGAAAGUUGAAAAGUACUUUGAAGAGAGAGUAAACAGUACGUGAAACCGCUCAGGAGGUAAACGGGUGGAGUUGAACUGUGAUCUCUGUGAAUUUAGCUGGUGAGCAUGGUUUGAGCUUGGUCAAAUUGGUUGUUACUCGGGGUCUGCUUAGCUGCAGGUCUUUGCCUAUGGUGAAGAUGCGCGAGGCACUUGUCAGGUGUUGCGCGCCCCAUGUAAUUCAGGCCAGCUUGCCAGUGCACUUUCGCAGAGUGUUCACCACGACCGGCAUCGCUGUCCGGCUGAUGUGGUUAAACCGGUCUCGCAUUGUCCUUGUGGCUUUGCUUGGUCGGGAUGGCAGGUAGCCCUUGGACUUGCUCGCAGCUUGCUGUGGGUUCAGGUCCUUGGGUGUAAUCAGCUGACUACAUCGGUUCUGUGCAGUAUGUCGGAGACGGCGGCUUGUGGUGUGUGUGCGUGCGUACCAGUUGACUGGCGUGUCCGGGUUUGGUUAUUAUGUUGCCUGUGUUUACAGGCCUGGUGAUGGCCCGGGUUCGUUCGGUUGACGGUUGCGUGCGUGUCACUUUCCAGGGCCAAUAGUCUGUGGUGUUGCGGUAGACUUUCCACCUGACCCGUCUUGAAACACGGACCAAGGAGAGUAACAUGUACGCGAGUCAUUGGGCGUAACGAAACCCAAAGGCGAAGUGAAAGUAAAGGUCCGGCUUGUCUGGACUGAGGUGAGAUCCUGUCGUUUCUCACACGUGGUAUCACCAAGUAUCGAGCGACAGGCGCAUCACCGGCCCGUCCCAUGGUGUGGUGACAUUUUUUGGUGUUCGUCACCGGGGCGGAGCAUGAGCGUACAUGUUGAGACCCGAAAGAUGGUGAACUAUGCUUGCGCAGGUUGAAGCCAGAGGAAACUCUGGUGGAGGACCGCAGCGAUUCUGACGUGCAAAUCGAUCGUCAGACGUGAGUAUAGGGGCGAAAGACUAAUCGAACCAUCUAGUAGCUGGUUCCCUCCGAAGUUUCCCUCAGGAUAAGC